RNAcentral lists this ribosomal RNA (253 nucleotides) under uncultured bacterium. RNAcentral's name for it is "partial 16S ribosomal RNA". It matches the Rfam family "Bacterial small subunit ribosomal RNA", at positions 524 to 776 of the family's 1533-position model. The record is from RNAcentral.
UACGUAGGGUCCGAGCGUUGUCCGGAAUUCCUGGGCGUAAAGAGCUCGUAGGUGGUUUGUCACGUUGUUCGUGAAAACCCACAGCUCAACUGUGGGCGUGCGAGCGAUACGGGCAGACUAGAGUACUGCAGGGGAGACCGGAAUUCCUGGUGUAGCGGUGGAAUGCGCAGAUAUCAGGAGGAACACCGGUGGCGAAGGCGGGUCUCUGGGCAGUAACUGACGCUGAGGAGCGAAAGCGUGGGGAGCGAACAGG